GGGCGGGUUGGGGGGCCUCGGCCUUUGUGAGCACAGGGCCCCUCCUGGUGACCUCAUCACAGCCCAGAGAAGGGCCCUUUCUUCCCAAGGCGGCCGCUGGGAAUCUGCCUGGGGACAAAGCGGCUGCCCGGCAGGGGACCAGUGAGGGGCUGGCCCCCCCAUGGCAUAAAUUAGGGGGGCUGAAGUGGGGGAGGGGAGGGCAGGGCGGCUGCAGCUGGUGCCCGGAGGAAGGCGCGCACAGACGGCCCCCGAACCCCCCCGCACACACCGGUGCAGGAGCUGCCCCCCUCCGAGGCUCAUUCAUUCAUCUCUACUUCAUUCAUUCCACACAUGGCCACUGGGCACUGGCCCUGGGGACGCAGAAGAGCAUCCGGAGGAGGAAGGAGUGAAUGGACAGCUGCGAGUCACGGGUGCCUGGAGCUCCGAAGGUCUGUGACUCCUAAGCGGGGGAAAUGCCAACUACACUUUAACUGGCCGAGUUCUCCGACCCUGAGUGCUCCGGACGCCUUCCCACCGUCCAGCCUGCACCCAUGCUGAUGAAAUCAGAGCCCCUGGGGUGGGACCCUCCAGGUAAACCCUGUGCUUGCAUGUACCCUACUGGGCUGUCCUGUCCUCCCGGUUCGCCAUGCGGCCUCGGGCAGUGCCUUGGGCAAGUGAUUGCUGUAGAGCCCAAAUCUGUGAAAUACACUUACCAAAACCUGCCGUGGAAUGGUUCGCAGAGUUUAACAUGCACAUGAGGCCUUUCGCCCAGGGCCUGGCACGCAGGAACGUUCACUCAACGAUGGCUUGAAAAAUGUUUAAAUGAUAGCGGAAGCAACGUAGGACACCCCCCGCCCCGCAUCAGACACACUCUGACAGCCGGGCACCCGCUGACCUGCAUCCGGGCCCUGAGGCGGGCCUCGCUCGCCCUCCAGUUAGCGCUUCUGCGCGCUGGAAGUAAGAACCAAGUUUGCCAGCGCUGUGCUGCUCAGCCCCUGUGCGACAUCGCUGCCCUGCGCUGGGGUUUCUCCUGUCUUGUUCCUGACCAGCCUCGGGGGGUCCCUGAGCCCUGUCCCUCAGCCUCCCUGGCCUAUGGCACUCACGGUCUCUCUCCAGCGCUCAGGGAGGACCUGCCCUGCUCUCCUGACAUCCUGGAGUUUAUGCCCGAGACGGAUGCGGGACAAGCGUGUCCUUUGCCACCUCCACGCUGGCUGAGACACAAUAGGAUGGCCAUUUCCCAACCUGAGCACUGAGCACACAGCAGGAGCUUGAGAACAGUUUUAAAAAAAAUUUAUUUAUUGAUUCUUGGCCACAUUAGGUCUUUGUUGCUGUGCGCAGGCUUUCUCUAGUUACAGUGAGCGGGGGCUACUCUUCCUUGUGGUGCGUGGGCUUCUCAUUGCAGUGGCUUCUCUUGUGGCAGAGCACGGGCUCUAGGUAUGUGGGCUUCAGUAGUUGUGGCGCACGGGCUUAGUGGCUCCACGGCAUGUGGGAUCUUUGCGGACCAGGGCUCAAACCCGUGUCCCCUGCAUUGGCAGGCGGAUUCUUAACCACUGCGCCACCAGGGAAGUCCUUGAGAACAGUUUCUAACGUGCGUAAAUAACCCAAGCCUAACGGGGCAGAGCGCACCUUGGUGGGUGGCAGAGAAUUAAAAAUGUCAAAUUUCCUGUC
Molecule: long non-coding RNA, 1647 nt
Organism: Orcinus orca (killer whale)
Lineage: Eukaryota; Metazoa; Chordata; Mammalia; Artiodactyla; Delphinidae
Exons: 2
Source: RefSeq, a predicted model, not a curated record